RNAcentral lists this ribosomal RNA (497 nucleotides) under uncultured bacterium. Its description in RNAcentral is "partial 16S ribosomal RNA". It matches the Rfam family "Bacterial small subunit ribosomal RNA", at positions 28 to 507 of the family's 1533-position model. The record is from RNAcentral.
GAUGAACGCUGGCGGCGUGCCUAAUACAUGCAAGUCGAGCGGACAGACGCUGAGCUUGUUGCUCUGACGUUAGCCGCGGACGGGUGAGUCACACGUGUAUCACCUACCUAUCAUUCUGGUAUCACUUCGGGAAUCCGGAUCUUAUCCCGUAUAAUCUAUUGAACCGUGUGGUUCAAUAGUGAAUUACGGCUUUUCGGUCACUACUCGAUGCUUCCGCGCCGCUUGAGGUAGUUGUUAAGGUAAAGGCUUACCAAGGCAACGAUGCGUAACCGACCGGAGAGGGUGAUAGGCCACACGGGAACUUGGACACGGUCCAGACGCCUACGGGAGGCAGCAGUAGGGAAUGUGACGCAAUGGGGGAAAGCCUGACGGAGCAACGCCGAGCCAGAGAUGAAGGUCUUCCGAUCGUAAAGCUCUCUUAUGGGGUAAGAACAACUGUCGAAGGAACUAUGGACGGAGUGACGGUAACGAAUAAGAAAGCAACGGCUAACUACGUG